This 671-nucleotide small RNA is filed under the name Arabidopsis thaliana (thale cress). Its description in RNAcentral is "ATSL046030". Lineage: Eukaryota; Viridiplantae; Streptophyta; Magnoliopsida; Brassicales; Brassicaceae. The record is from RNAcentral.
UCCGCCGGUGGGGGUGUGGGGACGUCCAUUGCCGAGACUGAGGGAUUUAUUUGUGAGUUUAGGUUAUAUAUGGCGUAGUAAGAGCAAUGAAAAGUGUGGAGAAGAUGACUUGUCGAGGAGUACAUGUUAUAUAGACCAAAUGGCGAGGAGACAACUAAUUAAAUGUUUCACGUCCCACUUACAUAUUGUAGGUGGUAUUAAUAUUGGACAUUAACUCGUGUUUACAUGAAAAUAGUAAACUAUAAACUAUUUCCGAUUAAAACCGAAACUUCAAAUUACAAUUUUCGAGUUUAUUGGUUUAUGUACGUUCAGAUUUACACGUGUACGUCUAUAUUGAAAUUUGUAUUUAUUAUGCCUGGCCACGUCUAUCACAAAACUGUCUUUUUGCGUCAAUCCAAUCAUGUUUAUUCCUACAUUUAUAGUAACUUUAAAGUUAUAAUGUAAGUACAGAAAGAAGUAUGGAUUACGAAACUUCAAAUUUAUUGCUUACAUCCGAAUAAACCCUUAAACCGAUAAACCUUGUAAACCAGAGGUUAAGCACAAAUUGAAACAUAACUUUAUAGAAGCAUUACAAGAACUUGAACAACUUCACGCAUAGAGGAUAAAACGAAAUAGAAACAUAACGGCAUUAGAAGAACUAGGAACAUAACUUAGACGAUAACAUUAAAUCA